UUCGGGAGAAGGUACGCUGCCGAUGGUGAGUAGACAUGCUCUACAAAGCUAUUGGCAGUCGCAGAUACCAGGCCGCUGCAACUGUUUAUUAAAAACACAGCACUCUGCAAAGACGAAAGUCGACGUAUAGGGUGUGACUCCUGCCCGGUGCUGGAAGAUUAAAUGAUGGGGUGCAAGCUCUUGACUGAAGUCCCAGUAAACGGCGGCCGUAACAAUAACGGUCCUAAGGUAGCGAAAUUCCUUGUCGGGUAAGUUCCGACCUGCACGAAUGGAGUAACGACUUGGGCGCUGUCUCAACCGUGGACUCGGCGAAAUUGCACUACGAGUAAAGAUGCUCGUUACGCGCGGCAGGACGGAAAGACCCCGGGACCUUUACUAUAGUUUGGUAUUGGUGUUUGAUUCAGUUUGUGUAGGAUAGGUGGGAGACUGUGAAACCCUAACGCUGUUAGGGCGGAGUCGUUGUUGAAAUACCACUCUGAUCGUAUUGGACUCCUAACGUCGAACCGUAUAUCCGGUUCACGGACAGUGCCUGGUGGGUAGUUUAACUGGGGCGGUUGCCUCCCAAAAUGUAACGGAGGCGCCCAAAGGUUCCCUCAGCCUGGUUGGCAAUCAGGUGUUGAGUGUAAGUGCACAAGGGAGCUUGACUGUGAGACAGACAUGUCGAGCAGGGACGAAAGUCGGGACUAGUGAUCCGGCACCUACUUGUGGAUGUGGUGUCGCUCAACGGAUAAAAGGUACCCCGGGGAUAACAGGCUGAUCUUCCCCAAGAGUCCAUAUCGACGGGAUGGUUUGGCACCUCGAUGUCGGCUCGUCGCAUCCUGGGGCUGGAGUAGGUCCCAAGGGUUGGGCUGUUCGCCCAUUAAAGCGGCACGCGAGCUGGGUUUAGAACGUCGUGAGACAGUUCGGUCUCUAUCCGCCGCGCGCGUCAGAAACUUGAGGAAAUCUGUCCCUAGUACGAGAGGACCGGGACGGACGAACCUCUGGUAUACCAGUU
Molecule: ribosomal RNA, 994 nt
Filed under: Termitomyces sp. MTP_Od127
Lineage: Eukaryota; Fungi; Basidiomycota; Agaricomycetes; Agaricales; Lyophyllaceae
Description: bacterial LSU rRNA
Rfam family: Bacterial large subunit ribosomal RNA
Source: RNAcentral